AGUGGCGGACGGGUGAGUAACACGUAGGUAACCUGCCCCGGAGCGGGGGAUAACAUUUGGAAACAGAUGCUAAUACCGCAUAACAACAAAAGCCACAUGGCUUUUGUUUGAAAGAUGGCUUUGGCUAUCACUCUGGGAUGGACCUGCGGUGCAUUAGCUAGUUGGUAAGGUAACGGCUUACCAAGGCGAUGAUGCAUAGCCGAGUUGAGAGACUGAUCGGCCACAAUGGAACUGAGACACGGUCCAUACUCCUACGGGAGGCAGCAGUAGGGAAUCUUCCACAAUGGGCGCAAGCCUGAUGGAGCAACACCGCGUGAGUGAAGAAGGGUUUCGGCUCGUAAAGCUCUGUUGUUGGAGAAGAACGUGCGUGAGAGUAACUGUUCACGCAGUGACGGUAUCCGACCAGAAAGUCACGGCUAACUACGUGCCAGCAGCCGCGGUAAUACGUAGGUGGCAAGCGUUGUCCGGAUUUAUUGGGCGUAAAGCGAGCGCAGGCGGUUGCUUAGGUCUGAUGUGAAAGCCUUCGGCUUAACCGAAGAAGUGCAUCGGAAACCGGGCAACUUGAGUGCAGAAGAGGACAGUGGAACUCCAUGUGUAGCGGUGGAAUGCGUAGAUAUAUGGAAGAACACCAGUGGCGAAGGCGGCUGUCUGGUCUGCAACUGACGCUGAGGCUCGAAAGCAUGGGUAGCGAACAGGAUUAGAUACCCUGGUAGUCCAUGCCGUAAACGAUGAGUGCUAGGUGU
RNAcentral lists this ribosomal RNA (743 nucleotides) under uncultured bacterium. Its description in RNAcentral is "bacterial SSU rRNA". It matches the Rfam family "Bacterial small subunit ribosomal RNA", at positions 94 to 823 of the family's 1533-position model. The record is from RNAcentral.